Molecule: ribosomal RNA, 380 nt
Filed under: uncultured eukaryote
Lineage: Eukaryota
Description: partial 18S ribosomal RNA
Rfam family: Eukaryotic small subunit ribosomal RNA
Source: RNAcentral
CAAUAGCGUAUAUUAAAGUUGUUGCGGUUAAAAAGCUCGUAGUUGGAUUUCUGCUGAGAACGACCGGUCCGCCCUUUGGGUGUGUAUCUGGCUCUUUCUUGGCAUCUUCUUGGUGAACGUUGCUGCACUUGACUGUGUGGAGCGCUACCCAGGACUUUUACUUUGAGGAAAUUAGAGUGUUUCAAGCAGGCAUACGCCUUGAAUACAUUAGCAUGGAAUAAUAAGAUAGGACCUCGGUUCUAUUUUGUUGGUUUCUAGAGCUGAGGUAAUGAUUAAUAGGGAUAGUUGGGGGCAUUCGUAUUUAAUUGUCAGAGGUGAAAUUCUUGGAUUUAUGAAAGACUAACAUCUGCGAAAGCAUUUGCCAAGGAUGUUUUCAUUGA